RNAcentral lists this RNase P RNA (301 nucleotides) under Xylariales sp. No.14919. RNAcentral's name for it is "fungal sp. No.14919 Nuclear RNase P". It matches the Rfam family "Nuclear RNase P". Rfam says of the family: Ribonuclease P (RNase P) is a ubiquitous endoribonuclease, found in archaea, bacteria and eukarya as well as chloroplasts and mitochondria. Its best characterised activity is the generation of mature 5'-ends of tRNAs by cleaving the 5'-leader elements of precursor-tRNAs. Cellular RNase Ps are ribonucleoproteins. The record is from Rfam by way of RNAcentral. Lineage: Eukaryota; Fungi; Ascomycota; Sordariomycetes; Xylariales.
UCCGGAGCGCAAGCUGUAUUUCCACGCCCGUGAGAAAUUCGGAGUACGCUUCAACCUUUCACCCGUGCCUCACCUUUGCUGUGGGGGGUUCCACGGGUCUGUCCGUGAGGACCUCGCGUGACAUUCACGCCUGUGAUUGGCAUCAGAGACGCAGGGCCUUCCGUUCCGCGUAUACCCGAAAGGGGACGGCGGUUGAGGUUGGUUCCUAUGGGAGAGUCGUCACGAAGCUUGUGCGCAUCACUUAAGUGCAAUACACAGCCUCUUUUUACAGAGAAUUCAAUUCCGAUCACUCUGAUGGGGA